This 67-nucleotide transfer RNA is filed under the name Blaberus peruvianus. RNAcentral describes it as "tRNA-Arg". Lineage: Eukaryota; Metazoa; Arthropoda; Insecta; Blattodea; Blaberidae. The record is from RNAcentral.
AAGUAUGAAGCAAUAAUCUGCGAUUAGUUUCGACCUAAUGAAAUUGGUAUUAAAUUACCCUUACUUU